Molecule: unclassified non-coding RNA, 247 nt
Filed under: uncultured Lasiosphaeriaceae
Lineage: Eukaryota; Fungi; Ascomycota; Sordariomycetes; Sordariales; Lasiosphaeriaceae
Description: sequence contains ITS2
Source: RNAcentral
AACGCACAUUGCGCCCGCUAGUAUUCUGGCGGGCAUGCCUGUUCGAGCGUCAUUUCAACCAUCAAGCCCUAGGCUUGCGUUGGAGCCCUGCGGCUGCCGCAGGCUCCCAAACCCAGUGGCGGGCUCGUCGUCGUACCGAGUGCAGUAAAUUUACCACGCUCAGGGCACGCGACGGGUGACCGGCCGUAAAACCCCCCACUUUCUCAAGGUUGACCUCGGAUCAGGUAGGAAUACCCGCUGAACUUAA